CGCAAUUAAUGAAGUUAAUCAAAAGCUCAAAUUCUUUGAUACUAGUUAAACUCGAGCUCUCCAAGAUUAUCUAGAAAAACAGCCAUUGUGUUUUAAAACUACCUUGAAAUUUGUCAAAUUUAGAGUUGUACUUCCAAGCACAAAUAUAUUCCUGCACAUGAUCGUAGUUGGAAGGAGUUCCUCUUGAUGGAAACAAAUUCUAAACUGCAGAGUUAAAAAAUCAAGUUCCAAAGCCACUCACCAGAAACUUUAGUUCUUGGCCAUACCAGUGCUUAUACAGAAACAUUAAUAUAGAAAUGGAAAACUAGUGUUAAACUCAGAUCUCGACUAAAUAAGCAAUUUUUAUUUUGGGAAAAACCAACCAAACCAUUAUUAAAAAUCAUUCAACUAUAUUAGGCAUAAACAAAGGAAAAUGUAACUGUAACAAGAUUGCAUAAACAAAAUGGAAGGUGUCAACAGCGGGUAACGGUUUAGCAUGUCAUAACUACCAGGUAUUUUGUUCCCAUUUUACCUGUGUUAACUGUCAACCUUAGAUGCAGAACAAUUACACUAUAUCAUAACAACUUCCUCAAAGACUCACAUUCAAUAUGAGAAAUAUUAGCACAUACAACAGCCUCCUUGCAACACACUUUCCUAUCAGAUGUAAUUCCUGAGUCCAACUAAACAAGUACCUCAUUUCCCAUAUGCUAGCAUUCCUCUACACUACGGUAUGAUAUCUGGUUUGACGAUGAUUUAUAAAUACCAUAGAACUGUAGUAAUGAUGGAAACAGCAACAAAUAAAAUGGAUUAAAUCCUCAGGUAUAAUGCACUCAAAUGCAUUACUAGUUAACAAAAUAUUUAUCCAUAGACUGGAAAGACCAAAAAAGAUAUAUUCCAGAAAUAUAUGAAGAUAAAUUGAACUAGGCAACAUCAAUUGCACUGCGUGUCCUCAAAAUAUGUCAGAUGAAGAAUCAUGUGUCAGUAGCCUCAACAUUACAACAACUGAAAACAUCAACAUGAGCCUGACAUCCAACGAAAAUGCUACCUUGCAGCUACUAACUGCUGACAAACGCUGUCAUAAAGGCAUGGAAAUACCUGUAAAAUACACAAAUGGAAGCAUUGCAAUGAGUUCUUGUCAUCCAGUUAUUAAAGUUAGUACCUCAAAUUAAAUAGAAAAAUGAGAUGAGUGCAAUUUUCUAAUCAACAAUGUAUUUUAACAAAAAAAUCCUGAUAUUUCUACAGUGUACAGCAAGCCUAACAUCAAAGAUAUAUAUUUACUCACGCAGACAACUUCUAACAAAGUGUGAAAGGAUCCAAUGACAUUUAAUUUUGUUGAGUUCUAAAAUAUAAUCUUAUGCAAAAAUUAAAAAAAAUCUAGAUAUUUGUCUUCUUGGGCAUCAGGUAUCUCUAGUUAACAGUUAACACGCAUACCCUGGAAUGCACUGCAGCAAAACUUCAUCAAAAUAAUACCAUCAUGAUUUAUUUUGGCUUUUUUUAAUUCAUGAUGCAACUAUCGUGGAACAUUUUCUAUCAGCCGGCUAAACAAAUCUGUCUAUCUACUUAUCUACUAGCAUAAGAUCCAAAGAUUCCAAAAUUUAAAAACAAUAGGUAAAAUCAAAAUGAUAUUGACCAAUUUACUAUAUCAUUUGGAAGAACUCCCUCCUCUUACCCCUUGGUGCCAGACUUCAUAACACAUUUCCCUUGAAUGCCUGCCGUAUGUUUUCUCACAUCUAAGUAAAUUCUGUCACAAAUAUAUAUACUUCCAAUGCCAAGUGCUGAUCAUUUGGUAAUGGUAUUGGAAAAUCAAUUUAUGCACUUUGCUUUUUUAUAGAACCUCCCUCGUCUAACUUAUUUAAACUCCAAAGUGCAUUCAGUAGAUUUUAACUCCCGAGAUAAACACAACUUAUUUUACUUUCUUGUUUUCGUCUCCUAUGAAUAUUUAUUGAGAAGUUUAACCGAUCAGACCUUUCUCUCCCCCACUUGUAGUUCUAAUUCAUAUGCAAUGGACAGAAAACAGUAGCAAUGUACACAACACAAUAUAGCAAACAUUAACUUUACUUCCUAGGAUUGAUUUAAUGGUAGGAGUUUUUAGUACUUUACACGAGCUCUUCGAUUCAAACCUCACCCUCCUGAUUGUAUACGCGUAUUAAAAAACGAAGAUAUAAAAACCCAAGAAAAAAACACGGGCUAUUAGUGUGACGUGCAACGACAUUCCUUGCCACAAAUCUCAUCUCACAUUCCUUAAAGUCAUGCCAGAAAUUCACAAUAACAUUGCUGAAUAGUGAACAAACGCAAAAAGAACACACCUUGAGGAACUAACCCCCAACCCUUAGACUCAACAGACAGGCUCGACACUAAUCGAGCUGAAGCCACCGCGCUAUGUAACGGCAUAAUUGAUUCCAAACUCGCCAACUCCACCGGUAACCUAACCAACCAAAUUACAAAGUUUAAUUAAAACAAAUAAAUAAACAAAAUCAUAUGAAAGUGUCAUAUAGGUUUUCAAGAACGAAAUGCCAAUGAAAAAAUUCAUUUUUUUUUUUCUAUUAGGAGAUGAAAUGAAGCGUAAGGGAGAUGCGGGGCUCACCGGAAAGUACGAGAAAGGCGGCGCGCAGAGAGAGGAAGUGGAUUGGAGUGAAGAGAGAGUGAGGGUUUGGUGAAGUUGCUGUGAGCAAGUGUCUGUAACCGAGACGACAACCUACACAAAACCUUCGAUGAUGCCAUUUGUGUGUUGUUUCAGCUGAAAAUGUCACACUGUGGAGUAUGAAACCUUCCCACUCCUAAUACUAUAUUUCCCAGAAUAUCAACGACGCCGUUUCGCCUUAUU
RNAcentral lists this long non-coding RNA (2803 nucleotides) under Vigna radiata. RNAcentral describes it as "long non-coding RNA (VRAD_LNC007593)". Lineage: Eukaryota; Viridiplantae; Streptophyta; Magnoliopsida; Fabales; Fabaceae. The record is from RNAcentral.